CGUGAGAUGUUGGGUUAAGUCCCGUAACGAGCGCAACCCUUGUCCUUAGUUACCAGCACGUUAUGUGGGCACUCUAAGGAGACUGCCGGUGACAAACCGGAGGAAGGUGGGGAUGACGUCAAGUCAUCAUGGCCCUUACGGCCUGGGCUACACACGUGCUACAAUGGUCGGUACAAAGGGUUGCCAAGCCGCGAGGUGGAGCUAAUCCCAUAAAACCGAUCGUAGUCCGGAUCGCAGUCUGCAACUCGACUGCGUGAAGUCGGAAUCGCUAGUAAUCGUGAAUCAGAAUGUCACGGUGAAUACGUUCCCGGGCCUU
Molecule: ribosomal RNA, 316 nt
Filed under: uncultured Pseudomonas sp.
Lineage: Bacteria; Pseudomonadati; Pseudomonadota; Gammaproteobacteria; Pseudomonadales; Pseudomonadaceae
Description: bacterial SSU rRNA
Rfam family: Bacterial small subunit ribosomal RNA
Source: RNAcentral